Molecule: long non-coding RNA, 6977 nt
Organism: Phyllostomus discolor (pale spear-nosed bat)
Lineage: Eukaryota; Metazoa; Chordata; Mammalia; Chiroptera; Phyllostomidae
Exons: 2
Source: RefSeq, a predicted model, not a curated record
UACUUAUUAAUUCAUUGGUUGAUUCUUAUACGUGCCCUGACUGAGGAUCGAACCCCCAACCUUGGCAUAUUAGGACAACACUCUAACCAACUGAGCUAGCCAGCCAGGGCCAGACCUAACUUCUUUAUGGAGGAAUGCCUGGUUAUCUUUAAAAUGGGAGCCCCUGGGAGAGAGGAGCACAAUUACAAAAUUUAAUUAUAUGUGGAAUGUCUCUAAAGCGAUAGCCAUGGGGUUUAGUCAUGGAUGGAUAAUAGCUGUAUCAUCCAUCCAAAAGCUGUGCUUAAAAUUUGAAAAUCACCUGCAGCACUCAUGUAAUAAAUUGUCCAUAAGUAAUUUCAUUAGCAAGCAAUUAGAUGUGUUCAGGGCACUCAUGGGAAUAGGAACGUCUACCAGGUCAUUUCCAGGCCUUGUCCUCGGCUGCCAGCCUCAGUCCCUCGAAGUCACAAGCAAGGACAGAUCAUUCAAAUUCCAGUUUCUCACUUUGAUGUUGUGGUCCAGCUCAAAGUAUUCAUUUUGAUUCAACUGGAACAGUGGUUUUGAACUUGACCAGUGAGAAUUACAGAGGCCUCUCAGUGAAAAUGCUUUCUCCAGGCCCGCUGCAUCAGAACCUGCAGGCAAGGGCCCGGUAGUCUGGUUUUUAUCAUGAGGCAAAUUUGGGACAUAAUGUGUGGGUAUAGCUAAUAGUUUUUAAAAUAAAUGUAAUCAAAUUCUUGACUUUAAAGUUUAGUUGCACUGAAUAUUAAAAUUGAAGUUGCUUUAAGGAACUACAAUUGUAAACAAACCAUUGAAGGUCCAGUGUAAAUUGCAAAUGCAAAGCUGGCUCUGGUAUGGUGUCCUGUUGGUUCUAACCUGGCUUGAGUGUGAAACAAAAUGUGAAACAGGCCAGCUUUCAUGGACCCUCUUCCUCCAUAAGAAAUAAAUAAAAAUGAUAUCUUACCACUGUGCUGGUAUAAAGAUUACUGUAUUGAUAUGAUAUAUAGUAUAGCAUUUUUUUUUGAGCUGAAAGUUUAUAUGUUUUCUUCUGAUUUUAUAAGAAAUUAAAGUAUUUUCAUGAUUGUUAAAAAAAUACUGUAGGCCCUGGGCACUGAGCCAAGUGUGCCCCACACAUAAUUUGGGCAUGGCAAAGGCGGUGAAAUCCAGGCUCAGUUCUGGUGGCUGAUGUGAUAAUAUUUCUUGCCUCAGAAGUCCUGAAAGCAAUCCUCACUAUUCUUUUUCCCCCUCGAAUAUGAGAAUAUGAUCAGCCCUUUUGUUCCCGCCCUUGUGUGGGUGAGAGGGAGAAAGUUGAUCAGAAUCUGAGGCUGUGUCAGCGGGAGAAGGGCUAUUGUCACACAGGGGUGUAUGACCUUUCCCACAGUGAUCCUUUCCUGAAAACAUACCUCUGUCCCUUUAAACGGGUUUUGAAAUGCCAAAUUUAACUUAAGGGUUUUGCCCUGAAAAUAGUGAAUGCAGGUGGGUCAAUCACUUCUCAUCCUAUCCUAAAUUCCUACCUGAGGGAGACCUGGUGGUGUUGGCCACCUAACCAGCUAGACGGUUCUGCUCUUGGGUGUCAGGUUUCCUUAUCUCUCUCCCUUUCUCUCUCAAUACAACUUACAUAUUAUUUACUUGAGUGAAAGCUUUCUUAUGGUAUGUAUGAUGUUUUACAUAGUUGAUCUCUGCUUUGCUCAUGCUGACUUCAGUGAGUUGUAUUUGGUUUUCUAUUCUCAAGACAGCUCAAUUACUGCUGUUACCAUUGGUUUGUUUUCUUUCAGGGCCAAGGUGGGUACUUUAGUGUAAAAUCUUGUUUUUACUUCCUUCUCUGGCACUUUUUUUUUUAUUCUUAGUUUUGCAUAAUUAUCCCGACAAUGGAACCAGCAGCCUAGGGUUGCCAAGAUAAGGCUUCCACCCCAACAUCACAUGAUCUUCUAAUUCUACCUUUCUCUUCCCAGCACCAAGGGGACUGGGCCAGACCUUCAGCCCACCCUGCUCUUCCUUGCCAUGUUUGGGGCUUGAGCCUAAAGGCUAACAUGCUUCCUAUAGGCAGGGUCCUGCCUGGGAAGGGAAGGAAUGCGUGAGAUGGGGGCAUGCAGGCGUGCUCACUUCCAUGGCCAGAGCCAUAAACCAGCUGUUUGUCCUUUGAAGCCAAGCUAAGACAGUUCUUUAUUUUGCAUCGUUACAAAGAAAUUUUGAUUGAGAAUUCUAAAGUAACUCUGAUUAUGAAGAUUAAAUAUAUUGAUUGUAGAGAAUUGAAAAGCACCAUCAGAAUAUCCAGAAGAAGAGGAAGAAAGUCCCCCUGAUUCAUGGUCCAGAGAAGGCUGUUACCAUUUUGGCCUAAAGUUUCUCAUGUUUGUUUUGUUGUGUUUUGAUUUUUUUUUUCUUUUUGCAAAUAGGCAUUUAAUUUUAUACAAAAUCACAAUCAUGUGACAUAUACCAUUUAAUUAUUUGAUCUUUGCACUUAAUAAUACAUAAUGAGCAUUCUCACAUUAGUAAAUGCCAUCCUGCAAAAUGGAUAAUCAUUUAUUUAACCUGCCUUUUAUUUUUAGACAAUAACUUAGCUUUCUCAUUGUUGGCAAACCUUCAGUGAUUUUUUAAGGUAAAUUUUUGAAUGCAUGCAUAAUUAUUUACUUAGUGUAAAGUGGAACUGAUGUAUCAAAGGGUAGAGCAAUCUGGAGCUUUUUAAUAUAUAUUUCCAAAUAGCCCCAUGGAAAGGUUCCAGCAGUUUACAUUCCCAUCAGUACUCUGCGUGCUUGUGUCCUUGUACCCUUGCCAACACUGGGCAUUGCCAUGUGACUAAAAUUCAAACUGAAGGAAUCUGGUAUGCAUUAAUUUGAAAGAAACUGUGACUCACGUUUCUCUGCACAGAGUAUUUAAUGUUUAGCAGAUUGCUCUCUGUGUAAUAAUUAUGGCUUUCUUUACAGUGUUACGGAAACCCUUUUAUUAAAUUUUACAUUUACCACUUUUUUCAAGAAUCUUAAAUAGUUCUUAGGUUUUCAACUCUAUUUUUUAAAAGGCUGUUAAAAAUAUGGUUUGGGAGGGCUUUGUGUAUAUGUGUUUAGGAUGAUGGACUAAACAGAAUCUUGGUGAUUAGUUGGUUCACCCCUCUUACAACUUAAUUAGUGGCUCAAUAAAGAAACUUACUCACACUCCCUCCGUUUGUUGGGAUGUUCUCAGCAGCAGUUGACAGACAAGUCCACUCCAGCCAGUCUUGCAGGACGGGGGUGUAUUGUAGUCUCCUGAUACUGAAACUGGAUUCUGAUGAUACCCAGUGUGGCUGACCUUAGGUAACCCUUGAUCUUUCUAAGCCCUGCUUUUUAUCUGUAAAUAGUGUCUUGGACUCUAUGGAAGGUCCAUUCCAGUUCUUAAAGUUAAAUUUCUCUAUGAAUAUAUUAGCCAAGAAUUACAUUUUACUAGCAACCAAAUUUAGACAUGGUGAGGGGAAGGCUAGCCCUCAGAGCAAGUUCUUAAAGAAAUACAAUUUUGUUACACACCUGGACCUAACUGAAGAAAGUUGUGUUUUUUUUUUUUAAACAUGUAGAGGUCCUUAGGCAACUCCAACGUGAUUAUUAUUUACAUAGUGUAAAUAUACCUCCAAAGUGCUUUAAAAGUCUUUUUUUCUGUUGGUUACACAAUCCUCAGACAUCUUUCCCACCUACUACUUUGCCUAGCAAAUCUAUUCACAAAUAGUGGGAAAAGAAUUCCAUCCUGCCACUCCCCUAUUCACAACAUGUUAUGACAAUAAAUUCCAGCAUGGUAGAACUUGGGAGAUCUGUUCAGCUUUCUGUGAUGGCAACUUGUUGGUGAGUCACUUCUGUGCCAAACAAAUAGAGCUGAUCUUGAGCUCUUGGGGCCUAAUUUACAUACAGGAAGAAAUGUUAGUGUUAGGGAACUUAGCCUCACCAGGAACACCUUACAGCUUUGGGGCUGGUUGUCCACGAGGAGGUAGAUUUUCUAAUGUCAGGCUCCUUUAGCUUUUUAAAAUUGGCUUUUUUUUUUUUUGACUGGUAGGAAACCUUUUCUCUGGUGGUUGCUUCCCACCCCCCACCCUGCACCCUCAUAUUUGCUAUUUAGAGUUCACUUGUAACCUUGUUGUGAAAGGCCUUUGAGAAGCAGGCUUUGUUUUAAAGCCAUCAACUACCAAUAAAAUUUUUUAUUAUUUUCACCACAAUAUUUGGAAUACGGAGUCAUUUCAUGGUUUUAACUACUACCAGAUUGCCAGUCCUGGAUUGUGUUUAGAGAAAUUUUUAGACCGAAAUGAAUGCAGCAGGACCUACAUACCUUUUUAUUAGCGCUCAGCUCCCACAUGUUUAUCAGCGAUACUGGCAGUCCCUGGGUCUGGUGCUGCAGGAGAGGGGGCGUUUUAGGGAAAACAGCAGCCACAGAUUUUGAUGGAGGGGGUGUUAGGAUCACCCUGCAGCGACAAAUAACCUCCAAAUGCCAAUGACUUAAAAUAGCAAAGGUUAUUUCUCUUUCACACUACAAGUCCAUUGAGGGGUGGCUAGGGGCUCCUCUGUGGCUCAUCUUCACUCUGACCCAAAUGAUGGAGCAGUCAUUAACCUUGAAUUUUGCUAGUCACAGGAAUAGAGAACGAAUUCUGAAGAGGCUCACACGAGCUCUAGGUGCUUUUGCCUGCAAGUGACAGGCACCAUUUUCAUUCACAACUCACUGGCUAGGUGAGGCACACUUUGUAUCUCAGUUAUAAAAUGGCCAGGAGUGGCAGUCUGACCCCAUGGGCCUGAAGGAAGAGGGCCAGAAGUAUUUGGCCAGUAGCACUAGUGACUACCACAGUUUGUGUGUCUGUUUACCAGAUAUUUGGCCCGCUCUCCCACCUGCAGGGGAGACACAGCUGUCCCCUCCCCAACGGAAACAACCCCGAAGUCCUACCCAGUUACAGCAUCUGCAUGGUACACAGGAGGCUCUAAAUUAGGGGAUGAUGUAAAUUCAUUUUGAUGUCAACUCUUGAUCUAGAAAUUUCUGAAAUAAAAGAGGCAAGUUACCUGCUGUUCACCACCCCCAUCCAUUGUAUGUUAAUAUAUACUGGUGAGACAAAGAUUGGAAAACCCAAUGUACACUCUUAUUCAGAAAGGGGGUGAGUAGGAGACCAUCCACUUGGACCUUAGUCAUUCUAAUUUUGAAGAAUUUCUGAAAUCUUCAGGGCUUCCUGCCUUGUCGGUGGAGAAUAUUCCAUUGGGGUCCCGAUUCUCCUCUUGGGAGGGCCUCCCCACCGCAUGGCUGUUUUCAGCCCUUGGCUUUUCCCAGUAGCCAGUUUUAUCACGUCUUAGGUGUGUCCUCCGUGGAGGCUGAGCAGGUUUCUGUGCUGCUUCCUGACUUUACAGGGUUGGGGGUUCUCGAGUUCUUUCAGGCUUUGAACAGUUUUUCCCAGCCACUUUAGGUUGAGGCUCUUGGUUCCUUUGCCAGUACAACUCUUUUCCAAAGGAAAUACGUUUCUUAACGGUUUCACUGUAGUUUAUUUCCAUAUGCCCAGCCUCUGUUCUUGGUGUCAUACUUUACAUUCACUGUAUGCCUUUGUGCUGUGCCUCUAGCCUUUCUUAAUUGAUUUAGUCAAUGAUACUUUGAACCUGUCAGGCUUUGGUGGGGAAUCCACACCUCCAAUGUCUUUUCUCCUGAACUAUUAUAAUUGAAAGAAUUAACUAAGAAGCCACAACCUUAACUGCAUCUUUAGUUGGAGACAUAUUAACCAUGUUAAGAGUGAGUGUGAUAGUCAUUUUCUUCCUCUGAACCUCAUGCCAACACUAAGUGCUAAUUUAUCUUUUUCACUCAAAAUGCUUUCUGAGUUUUAUCAUUUAUUAAUAAAUGUUGGGGAAGAGAAGUAGGUGCUUUUUCCCAGCCCUGCAAGUCUGACUUGAUGGACUCUAUUCCCUUUCCUUUUUGUCUGUGAAGCAGUCAAUGACUUUCUGAGCCCAUCUCUCACUCUUUUCUGGGUCACGCCUUUUCAAAUUCAGCCAACAGUCACCAACACAUGCUACCAACAUUUGACCUUGAACCUUUUACACGAGAUCCCCCAGUUCUUUGGGUAUUUAUCUGCCUUCCAAGUUAUCAUACAUGAUGGUUUUACCAAAUGCUUUGCCAGCCUCCAAAAUUUGUUACCUCCUUGGCGCCUGGCCUCUAAGCCAGUGUCGCAUUUUUCGUUGCUGUUGAGGCAGCACUCCAUGUCAAGCAGCCAUGAGAAUGGGCUGGGUUCUGUUGUAGCAACAGACAACUGCCAAAUCUCAGUGGUUAAAGAACAAAGGCUUAUUUUGUGCUCAUGCUGUAUUUAUUGAGGAUUGGUUGCGUCUUCACUCUAGGACCUAGGCUGACAGGUCAGCCACUAUCUGGAAUGCUUCCCAUCGCUAUGGGGAAGUUCUAGCAGGGGUGCCCAACCUUUUGGUGUCUCUGGGUCACACUGGAAGAAGAGUUGUCUUGGGCCACAUGUUAAAUACAUUGUGACAUGUAAUCACAAAAAAGACCCUCAAUAUUUUAAGUAAAUUUAUGAGUUUGUGUAGGGCCCCAUUCAUAGGUGUCCCGAGCCGCAUGUGGCCCAUGGGCCACAGGUUGGACACCACUGCUAGAGGGUCUCAUGCCUGCAACUUAAUGCCCUGGUCUGGAAGCGAUGACCUACUCGUCAGUUCUCACCGUUUAAGCAGAUGCUCUUCAGCAUUGUUCUUGAGCCUUAUUCAUGUUGAGACCUGUAACUGUAGUUUAGGAUUCAACUACUUAUCUACAGCACCUGCUUUUAUGAAUGUCAGCUUCUGGUUUAGACACACCUCAUUAUGGAAGAAACCAUUUUGAAUGAGUAGAUCAGCUUACUUGUUUGCAUCUUCUCAUGCAGUUUGAACCUCGCCUCCUUCCGAACAUCCUUGAUGAAUAUUCUAGAAAUUUUAAAUCAUGACAUCUGGUGUAAUGUGGAGGAGUAGAGGAUGAAUGCAGACACUCUGUGUCUAGAACCACCAUCACUUCUGGCAAACAUGGAACAGACUCUUAAUCAGUGGUUCAGCUGAAUUUAU